Arvicanthis niloticus (Nile rat) is the source of this 132-nucleotide small nucleolar RNA. RefSeq annotates it as small nucleolar RNA SNORA17. The record is from RefSeq and is a predicted model, not a curated record. Lineage: Eukaryota; Metazoa; Chordata; Mammalia; Rodentia; Muridae.
CCUGCCCCUAGAAGCAUUGCAGGUGUGGCUGUUUUGUCACAUGUAUGUCAGUAGGUGGCAAAGAGGAGAGAGGCUAUGUCUGUGCUCAGUGUUCUGACCUAUGAGCAUCUGAAUGAUUAGUAGCCUAAUAGU